GCAGUCGCCGCGGUAAUACGGAGGGUGCAAGCGUUAUCCGGAUUUAUUGGGUUUAAAGGGUCCGUAGGCGGACUUAUAAGUCAGUGGUGAAAGCCUGUCGCUUAACGAUAGAACUGCCAUUGAUACUGUAAGUCUUGAGUAUAUUUGAGGUAGCUGGAAUAAGUAGUGUAGCGGUGAAAUGCAUAGAUAUUACUUAGAACACCAAUUGCGAAGGCAGGUUACCAAGAUAUAACUGACGCUGAGGGACGAAAGCGUGGGUAGCGAACAGGAUUAGAGACCCCAGUAGUCCCUGUCUCUUAUAA
RNAcentral lists this ribosomal RNA (302 nucleotides) under uncultured bacterium. RNAcentral describes it as "partial 16S ribosomal RNA". It matches the Rfam family "Bacterial small subunit ribosomal RNA", at positions 508 to 809 of the family's 1533-position model. The record is from RNAcentral.